CUACAUCAAUUUGGUAUCAAAGCCUUCUAAAAUCGCACCCUUCCACUGUCACUCGAAUCCCUCUCUAGGAGUACAUUGCUAUUUCUUUGAUUUUCUAGCCAUAUAUAUAGAAAGAGAGAGAUAAAUUAUUAUUUAGUCCCUGUAUUUUAUUUCUGUUAAACUGUUUAGUCACUCCAUCAAUUUUUUCAUUAUUCAAUACUGAUCAACAUACUAUUUAUUUCCUCUAUUUUAGUGAAACUAAUCAGUUAGUCCCUAUAUUUUGAAAAGAACACAUUACCCUAUAAUUUGGCUCAAUUAACUAUUUAGUCCCACAAUUAU
RNAcentral lists this unclassified non-coding RNA (318 nucleotides) under Hevea brasiliensis (rubber tree). The record is from RNAcentral. Lineage: Eukaryota; Viridiplantae; Streptophyta; Magnoliopsida; Malpighiales; Euphorbiaceae.